Long non-coding RNA from Aethina tumida (small hive beetle), 445 nucleotides. RefSeq lists it as uncharacterized. The transcript is spliced from 3 exons. The record is from RefSeq and is a predicted model, not a curated record. Lineage: Eukaryota; Metazoa; Arthropoda; Insecta; Coleoptera; Nitidulidae.
AGAGCUGGUCCCCGAUGGAGAGUGGUUUUUAGUCCGUGAGAAUCGGACACUAGCCUCCGAAUUCCGUUCAGGAGUGCGUCUAUUAAGAUUUUCCACUCUCUAGUCCAAAAACAAAAAAAAAAAAAAAAACAGACAUACAAUAAGUUUGGCGUUCUACGUUUGACUGCUUCGACUUUUUUGCUACAAAAAUUAUCAUUAUUCCAUAAAAUGGACAAAGCUGGACGGAACAACAGAUCCAAUCAACUUAAUCCCAACAAUGCCGAAUUCAAAGGCACUAAGUCUACCUCACCUCAUCAGGCUAGUGUUGAUAACAGGGCCAAUCAACAAAACCCGAACAACGCUGCCUAUGCAAAGUCACGUCAAAAUUAAUAGAUAUGUGUGCCUAGAUGCUAUUUAAUAUAUCAUGUAAAAGUUUAUGAAUAAUAAAAUGAGUAUAUAAAAAUAU